This 460-nucleotide ribosomal RNA is filed under the name uncultured bacterium. RNAcentral describes it as "partial 16S ribosomal RNA". It matches the Rfam family "Bacterial small subunit ribosomal RNA", at positions 338 to 795 of the family's 1533-position model. The record is from RNAcentral.
CCUACGGGAGGCAGCAGUGAGGAAUAUUGGUCAAUGGACGAGAGUCUGAACCAGCCAAGUAGCGUGAAGGAUGACUGCCCUAUGGGUUGUAAACUUCUUUUAUAUGGGACUAAAAUGUUCCACGUGUGGGUUUUUGUAUGUACCAUAUGAAUAAGGAUCGGCUAACUCCGUGCCAGCAGCCGCGGUAAUACGGAGGCUCCGAGCGUUAUCCGGAUUUAUUGGGUUUAAAGGGUGCGUAGGUGGAUUGUUAAGUCAGUUGUGAAAGUUUGCGGCUCAACCGUAAAAUUGCAGUUGAAACUGGCAGUCUUGAGUACAGUAGAGGUAGGCGGAAUUCGUGGUGUAGCGGUGAAAUGCUUAGAUAUCACGAAGAACUCCGAUUGCGAAGGCAGCUCACUGGACUGCAACUGACACUGAGGCUCGAAAGUGUGGGUAUCAAACAGGAUUAGAUACCCGAGUAGUC